This is a long non-coding RNA of Acanthaster planci (crown-of-thorns starfish), 390 nucleotides long. Lineage: Eukaryota; Metazoa; Echinodermata; Asteroidea; Valvatida; Acanthasteridae. The record is from RefSeq and is a predicted model, not a curated record.
GAUUCCACAGCAACAUGGACGCAAGAUACCGAUAAUUACUUUAUUCGGUACUCUAGCGUGGAUCAAGGAGUUAUUCGGACAUCAUUGGUGAAACUGGUGUGUGAUCAAAGUGCAGAUGAACCCAAGUUAGACACAUUCGGCUCCGGAAAUGAAAACCCUACAACAUAUAAUUUCACCUUAACAUCCAAGUGUGCCUGUCCUGGGGCUUGUCAAUCCUCUACACCAACUUUUAAUCCCCCACAUCGUGGCAUGAUCAGUCCAGGAUCUGUCCUUUGUAUCAUUGUUCCAGUGUUGAUAGUGGUGUACCUGGUUGCGGGAGUUCUCUUCAUGAAAUUUGCGCGCCAUGCUGAGGGGACAGACCUAAUACCCAACAGAGACAUUUGGACUAAU